Molecule: non-coding RNA, 941 nt
Filed under: Saccostrea mordax (small rock oyster)
Lineage: Eukaryota; Metazoa; Mollusca; Bivalvia; Ostreida; Ostreidae
Description: 12S ribosomal RNA
Rfam family: Microsporidia small subunit ribosomal RNA (bases 171-940)
Source: RNAcentral
AUAAAAUAUUUGGUUCUGGUAUACUGUUAGUUAAGAGUUCUUUGAUAUACACAAUGUAGGAAAUCUUCGUGAUGUGCUAGUUUAAUAAAAGAGAUAAGUCUGAGCUAAAGCCUAAAUGGUGAACAGGCAACAGUAUAAGCAUAAGUUAUAUACUAUGACGCAAAAAGAAUCACAACUCAAGUGGACAGCCCUGGGCUCAAUGGGUUAAAGCCCGAAACGAACGAGAAACUGAUUAAUAUGAGCUAAAAUGGGUGCCAGCAGCUGCGGUCAUACCCUUUAUAGACGGACUAAUAGAGGUACAGCCUAGAGGCGGUUAGUUAGUAAUAAAUGCAUUGACACACGUCAGGCUAUAGAGGUUAAAUCCUAUUUAAAACUUGGAGGAGGUUCUUUGCUUGCAUGAAAAUGAUUCCGCGAAAUUAUGGAAAUAAACCUGGAUUUGAUACCCAAUUAUUCCAUAACGCUAAGAAUAACGGCUUUACAGCAUUAGCUGGUUGCUGGGGUACUACGAGCAACUGCUUAAAACUCGAAGAACUUGGCGGUUCCAUAAAGCCAUCCAGAGGCUCUUGGCGCUUAAUCCGAUGAUCCGCGUGAUAUCUUACCUACCCUAUAUGGUAUCGUACUGCCGUCGAAAGUGUAUGAUGUGAGUAAGCUAGAAUAAACGAUGCCUUAAAGUAGUGGUUUAACUAACGCAUUAACUUUGAGACAAGGUCAGGUCGAAGCGUUCCUUAUGGGUAUGGGGUUUGCUGAGAGACAAUUUUUUAGUUAUACCCAGCCCUAAAUUUGAAAUAUUUUAGUUUGGCAAGGGGGAUUUGGGAGUAAACAAAAAGUAAUCCAUUAUGUUGAAUAGACGUUACUAUGGUGCGUACAAAUCGCCCGUCACCCUAGCCGAAAGGAGAGGUAAGUCGUAACAUGGUAAGGGUAGGGGAACCUGCUCUUGUAAU